Molecule: long non-coding RNA, 4035 nt
Filed under: Sus scrofa (pig)
Lineage: Eukaryota; Metazoa; Chordata; Mammalia; Artiodactyla; Suidae
Description: lncRNA (ENSSSCG00050007701.1)
Source: RNAcentral
UUUUUUUUUUUUUUUUUUGGUUUUGAUUUGGCUUAUUAAGGAGUUCGGGCUCUACCUGGUUCUGGCUCUUGCUCCCUGCACUGUUCUGAGAUGGAGCUUAGGACUAAACCCUUUCCGUUGCUACAACUGCACCCCAAGACAGUGCCGGCAGGUGCCUCCAGUAGUCAAAAGGCAAGGCGGUGCUCUGUCUCCCUCCCCUCUUCUUCAUUUCCUUUUCUCCCUUCUUCAUCAGCUGUCUUACAAAAUUAGAAUUUCAUGCUCAUGUCCCGCCCACUCUCAAACCCAAAGCUGUACCUCAAAUUACAAAUUCCUUCUUCCUAUCAACUCAGAGAAAAGUAUGAGAUGACCUAUUUCCUGAGGGACCCUGGAGGAACUAGGUUCAGAAACCAGGUGAUGAAGAGAUUCUCUGAGGAGAAUCUGUAAAACAAGAAACAGCCUUCUGUGACCGACCAGAAAGAGUUCCAUAAACUAGGCUGUAUCAACAACAAGCAUUUGAAAUAAACUAUUUUCCUGUCUUAAAUACUAGUAUUCAAACAUAAUAGCCUUUCAUUGCAAAUGAAUCAAUAUUUAGAACAUUCUUUUUCUAUGGGAAGAAUUAUUUCCAAUUUCAAACAGCCAAGCGACAAACUUGGCAAGGCUGCCUAAACUUCGAAUAUGUUUGAUUGAAAAAGAGUUACUUAAAUUCUUCAGAUAACUCUAAAAUCUUCCCUUUAUUUUGUGAAAUUUUAAUCCACCCAUCAUGAUAUAGGAUAAAUGUAGCUCAAGGAAUAGAGAAGAACAAAAAAUCUUCACUAAAACAUCACAGGAGAAAUUUACACACAACUUCAUAAACUGAAAUGUCUCAGGUUUUAAAUACACACACAACUACUUCCCUCCACCCCUUUUUCUCCCCCGCUUCCCCUGCCACCACCUCUCAUUCUGUUUCUAUCUUAUUUUAAGGGAAGCUAAUAGUAUCCUCUCCUUUCUUAUAAAUUGUUUCCAACAUGUGAAACUGUAGACUUCUUUAAGGGUACUAAUAGAAACCCAAAAUGUUCACUGGAUCAAUCAAAAAAAAAAAAAAAAAAAAAAAAAAGGAAGCUGAAAAUUGUUAGAACUUUACAAGUUACAAAUUCCUUAUAGGAGUAGUUAUAUCUUUAUAUUCUAAAUCACAAUUUCAUUUCUGACUUUCCUGGGGGGGACAAAAAAGCUUUAGAAGUCCCAUGUAAUAUUUUACUCUGGUGUUUCCAAAAGCUUGGCCUUCAUACCCCCUUGUUUGAAUCACGUAGAAUAUUUUCUAAAAAUGCAAAUUCCCGAUCCCUCUCCAGAACUAUUAAUGAAUCAGAUAAUCAAGGUCAGAUUGCUCAGCAUUUUGACAAUUUUCCACAAGUGUUUCUUACGACUAGCAAAAUUAACACAAAAUGCAUUUUUUCACUUAUUUAUAUUUAAGACAUUUCCCCAACAGCACCACGCUAACAUUUUAUAAACUUACUAUGUUAAAACAUAUUAGACCUCUUUUGAAUAAAUAUUUUUAUCUUCUAGCAAUAAAAGAUGACUCCUUCCUUUAAUAAUAUGUUUAGUCUGGUUUGUCAUAAUGUACUCAGGCACUUUACCAGGCAGAAUUCAACUGCCACAUCAAAAAACACACUAAAUUAACUUUAACUUUUACCACCAUAUAUUGAAAUUUAAACUAACUAGUUAAAAUAAGUGUUACUGUUAGACAAUGUCAUUAAAAAACAGAAAAAACAUUAGAGCUCUUUGUGAAAACAAAAGCUAUGAAUAUACACGUUAAUAGUUUUUAAAAUAAGUUUGUACCACUAUGUCAUCAAAAAAUAUUUUUACCUAAUUGUAUUUCCUCCUCCUCUAUUAACAUUUUCAAAAAAUAAAAUAAAAAGAGAACUUCACUCUCUGAAAAGACCAUAAUUGUUCAUUAGCUUUGUGGAUCUCAGCAGCCCCUCACCUGCCUGCAUUAGGUCUUUUUGCACUUUUCAUUUUUUAGGUCACAGAAAUACAGUAAGUAAUGUAAUGAAACCACAGACUUGUCUGUAUUUUCUCAUACAGCCAGGCCCUGACUCAUAAAUAUUUCAUCUAUUGUUGUCUUAACUCUAAAAGAAAUUUGCCUGUAUUUUUCACGCUUUAUUUUGAAACAGCUCUCUUCUGAAAGCAACUCUGACCAUGACUUUGGUAAACGAACACAUACUGCCCGUAAAAAGAACUUUCACAAUACAAUGGCAACCACCUCAACCAAAGAACCAAAAACUUUUUAAGACUCAGAACUAUAAAAUUCAUAUAAUUCUGAACCACGUUAUUUCACAAGGAAAUUCAAUAUUAUAUGAUAGAAGUAUCUUUUCUGAGCCUUAAGAUGUUAACACUUUUCACAUAAGCGCCUUUAGGUCAAAGAAUGCAAGGAAAAUACAAGCUGAGUUCAGAGAAGGAGUUUCAGGGGAAUGGGUAUUAUGGGUUAGUUAGGAAUCAAAAAUCACAAAUUGCUUAUUCAAGAUUUUGAAUAGUGGACGUUCAAAUAGUGUAAAACCUCAGAUACUGCACAGUUCUUGACAACUUUGCCAUUGAUAAAAUGGGGAUAUAGCAGUAUGUCCUAUAAAAGUAGUAUGAAAAAUAAAUUAACACAGACAAAUUACUUAGAAAAGUAUCUACUUUAACUGCUCAAUGAAUGUUAGCAACAUUAUAACACAUUGUUAGCUAUAUAUAGUGAUGAUUCAUUUCAAAUGUAUAUAGAUAGAUAAAUAAUACCAUCCAAAGAAUUAAUGACAAGUCAGAGUCCACACUUAUUAAGUUUAGCAAAGGUUCUAAUCUUAACCCUGCUCUCAGUAUUUUCAUAAUUAGAGAUAUAAAAGAGUAUUAAUCAAAAUUAUGGAUGACACAAUUGCUAAUAGAGAAUUAGGAUUUUUUUUAAAUCUUGACAUGCUGAAUAAACUAUAAAAAAAGUUUAACAGAUACACAAAUUCUAUUCUUAGAACAAAGUAUUCAAUUGUAUAUUAAUUGCUACUUACAUGAAAUGAAUUAUAAUUAUAGCAAUAAAGUAACAUGACUAAAAAAUAAUUUGCAUUAGGUUAGAGGAAAUUGAGAUGAAUUUUCAUUGUCUUCUAUGUCAGUCAAACUACACUCAUUCUAUGAUAUUUGGCUCUAGAUACACUUUAUAUACAUAUAUAUGUAAAUUUUUUACACCACACCCACAGUAUAUGGAAGUUCCUGGGCCAGGGACUGAAUCUGAGCCACAGCUGUGACCUAUGCUGCAGUGGCUGCAACACCAGAUCCCAUAACGUACUGUGCCAGGCUGUGGAUUGAACCCACAACUCUGCAGAGACAAAGCCACCACUGGAGUCAGAUUCUUAACCCACUGUGCCAUAGUGGCAACUCCUGGAUACAUUUUAAAAGGGAAACUUCAAGGAAGAGAAACAUACUCAGAGAAGAGUGAUCAGAACUGUGAAGGGUAAAAUAAGUUUAUAUAAUACAUAUAAAGUAUAACUGGAGAAACCUGACUUUUUUUAAUCUCAAAAAAGGAAAAGUUUAUUGAGGAUAAAAAUCUUUCAGACAUUUGCGAAAUUAUCUAUAUGAAAUAGUUUGUGCAAAACCAAAGGACAGAGUUAGAAAUAAUGGCUAAUUAACUGAUUCCAAUUCAGUGUAAGGAGAAACUUUCUAUCAAUUACAUUUUUUCAAAUAUUGGUUGUUAAGAUAAGUUCUUCAUUCAUAUAAGUAUUUGAAAGCCACUAGCCAGGACUAAGGAAAUCAGGAUUGCCUCUUUCAUGUACAGAUGUCUUUAAAAAGCUGCUCAUGGAGUUCUCGUCAUGGCUGAGUGGUUAAUGAAUCUGACUAGGAACCAUGAGGUUGCGGGUUUGAUCCCUGGCCUCGCUCAGUGGAUUAAGAAUCUGGCGUUACUGUGAGCUGUGGUGUGGAUCGCAGACAUGGCUCGGAUCCCGCAUUGCUAGGGGUCUAAUCGGAGCAGCUACACGUCCGAUUAGACCCCUAGCCUGGGAACCUCCAUAUGCUGUGGGAGUGGCCCUGAAAAAGGCAAAAAGACAAAAAAAAAAAAAAAAAAAA